This 205-nucleotide long non-coding RNA is filed under the name Trifolium pratense (red clover). RNAcentral describes it as "long non-coding RNA (TPRA_LNC008223)". The record is from RNAcentral. Lineage: Eukaryota; Viridiplantae; Streptophyta; Magnoliopsida; Fabales; Fabaceae.
CACUAGAACAAACAAGAGAAAAUUUAAACUUUUACUAAUAUUCUAACAAGGGAUAAUUUAGGAUUUUAACAAAAAAAAAUUAAAUGCAAAAAAGUUUGUCCAUAUAAUAAAUUAUUGGCUUAACUAUACAUUUGGUCCCUUACGUUUAUUUUAGGUUUCAAUUUGGUCCCUUACGUUUAAAAAGUAUCAAUUUGGUCCCUUACGU